RNAcentral lists this long non-coding RNA (1647 nucleotides) under Hordeum vulgare. RNAcentral describes it as "long non-coding RNA (HVUL_LNC001503)". The record is from RNAcentral. Lineage: Eukaryota; Viridiplantae; Streptophyta; Magnoliopsida; Poales; Poaceae.
GGGUCGAAACAGGAUAAAUACAAUCGAUAUUAUUUUGUUGUUCCGUAGCAACGCACGGGUAUUGAGCUAAUGUUGUUGUACGUGGUAACUAUACAAAUGCGAUAAUUGGAGGCCUCACAAUGUUGUUGUACUGUACGGAUAUUAUUUUGGGGAUGGGUCUUCUUCUACGUGGUAACUCUACUAUGCGAUAGUGUUGUUGUUUAUACAUCGAAAAUGAGGGCACUUCGAUGGCAUCCACUAUGUGGUUACUUUGUUGUAAGUUAUAUAUAGGUCAUAUUUAGUGUCAUCAGAUUUGUACUUUAUUUUGCUGAUAUGGAAGGCACCAAGAAAGCUAUGGAUUGUUAAUGGAGAGCACAUGAUCCUCUGUGAAUCCAUAAUACCUAUUAUUGCGCAAAACAACUGUGAAGUAAACAUUCUUACCCUUGAAAGCUUACCAACAGUCCUUGAAAUGAUAAAGUUACCACGUCUAUUGGAAGUUUUGUACCAGCAAACAGAACCGGAUGGUGUCAUAUGUUUAUAACGGUGAUACUUCAUCGCUAGGUAAGCCAUACACGCUAUUAUUUUUUUCAACAGUAGUUCAUGUGUGUCUAUUUUAUAUUUGAGCAUCAUGACUCCUUAGUGUAGUUCAUCAGUAUAUUUGUAUGUUUACUCACUCAUAGUGUUGGAGAUGAUUGUGAUUUGAUCAUCAUGGUUUACAGGAGAGUAUCACAAUGACCUAUAUUGAAUAAGGAUUUGAAUUUAUUAGUUUCAGUCAAGAAUCACAACAAACAUAUCUACAUCGAGGAUAAGAGUGUCACCGAGCCCUGGCUAGAAAUUAUCCUAAUUUGUGGCAUCUGUUGCAAUUUAUCUAGAAUUGUUUUUCAUGAAAAAGUUCCUAAUUAUGAGGUAAUCUUCAAGUGACCAGUGAGUUAACUAGCUAAUUCCAACAUUAUCUUUAUGUGAAGAAUGCAGAGUGUAUUGCUUUUCCUGUUGCGCCGUAGAGGAAAAAGAAAAAUAUGUAAAUAAUCUGUUUAAGUUUUGAGGGUCACCUGUUUUGUCAUUUUAUUCUAUUAUAGGGCAUCUUACCAGCUUAUCUUCUUGAAGUUAAAGACAGAAAUAGAUAGCAUAUUAUCAACUGUAGCACUUGGAUCAACUAUAUUAUAUCCAAACAGUUUUGUUUCAUGAGUGACCAUGCUACGGUCUGAAUUUUGCAGGGAAACUGAAGAAUUGUCAAAAGAUUUACGUUCACGUGCUCUCCUCAUAGUCGGAGCAAGGAACAAAGGAGUUUUUGGAUGAAGCAUUAGUAUUAUAUCCAACAUAAUCCAUCACAACUCCAUAUAUAAUUGUGUUGAGGAAGUCAAACUUUCCGUUUCAUUUGACAUGUAUGUAUAUGCACACGUUUAGAUUUAAGGUGCAUACUUUAUAGAUGCACGCGUUUAGAUUUAAGGUGCAUACUUUAUAGGACAAUAUUGUAUGUAUUUUUUAAUUAUCUCAAAGAAAUCAUUGGCAGUUUGUGCACUCCUUUUAUUGCCGGUUAGCCAAUUUUACUACUUGAGUGAAAAAUUCUUGAGCCAUCCCCAUAAGUGAUCACAUAUGUGAGUCCAUUGUAAUAUUACACUCAUAUAUCAACAACCAAUGAAUGAAAUUACAUUCUAUAUUUGGAUCCAA